RNAcentral lists this long non-coding RNA (384 nucleotides) under Elaeis guineensis (African oil palm). RNAcentral's name for it is "long non-coding RNA (EGUI_LNC052313)". Lineage: Eukaryota; Viridiplantae; Streptophyta; Magnoliopsida; Arecales; Arecaceae. The record is from RNAcentral.
CGGAUAGUGGAGCCUGAUCCAUCCUCUGGUGCAAGUCUUAUAUGUACACUACGAUUGGUAGUCGCGGGUCCCACUUGCCAGGGAUGGAACUCCACCGAACAAAUGAUAGAGCAUAUAUGCUGCAGAUAGUUAUAAUUCUCUUUUCCUGUCUCAUUGGAAUAGAGAGCAAAUUCACAAAAAUCUCUACCAGUGGCAAUCCUAAUCUCUGGUAUAAAUAGAUAAUCAUUAGGCAUCCAAAUAUAUGAGAACAUUGCAUCCAAAGGAGAUGAGAGAGUCAACGGCUGUGCUGUGCAGAAGAGAGGGCAUGUGAGAGAGAAUUUUUUCUCCAUCUCUUGUACUCCUAUAAACUCCCUAAUUACAUAGUGAAAAUACUCUAUGCGGCUG